Molecule: ribosomal RNA, 484 nt
Filed under: uncultured bacterium
Lineage: Bacteria
Description: partial 16S ribosomal RNA
Rfam family: Bacterial small subunit ribosomal RNA
Source: RNAcentral
AUUGAACGCUGGCGGCAGGCCUAACACAUGCAAGUCGAGCGGAUGAAGGGAGCUUGCUCCUGGAUUCAGCGGCGGACGGGUGAGUAAUGCCUAGGAAUCUGCCUGGUAGUGGGGGAUAACGUCCGGAAACGGGCGCUAAUACCGCAUAGGCCCUGAGGGAGAAAGGGGGGGAUCUCUGGACCCAAGGCAAUCAGAUGAGCCUAGGUCGGAUUAGCUAGUUGGGGGGGUAAAGGCCUACCAAGGCGACGAUCCGUAACUGGUCUGAGAGGAUGAUCAGUCACACUGGAACUGAGACACGGUCCAGACUCCUACGGGAGGCAGCAGUGGGGAAUAUUGGACAAUGGGCGAAAGCCUGAUCCAGCCAUGCCGCGUGUGUGAAGAAGGUCUUCGGAUUGUAAAGCACUUUAAGUUGGGAGGAAGGGCAGUAAGUUAAUACCUUGCUGUUUUGACGUUACCAACAGAAUAAGCACCGGCUAACUUCGUG